UACGGAGGGUGCAAGCAUUGAUCGGAAUUACUGGGCGUAAAGGGCGCGUAGGCGGCCUAAUAAGUCGGAUGUGAAAUUCCGGGGCUCAACCCCGGAGCGGCAUUUGAAACUGUUAGGCUAGAGUACAGUUGGGGUAAACGGAAUUCCACGUGUAGCGGUGAAAUGCGUAGAUAUGUGGAAGAACACCGGUGGUGAAGACGGUUUACUGGGCUGUAACUGACGCUGAGGCGCGAAAGCAUGGGGAGCAAACAGG
RNAcentral lists this ribosomal RNA (253 nucleotides) under uncultured bacterium. RNAcentral's name for it is "partial 16S ribosomal RNA". It matches the Rfam family "Bacterial small subunit ribosomal RNA", at positions 524 to 776 of the family's 1533-position model. The record is from RNAcentral.